AACGAACGCUGGCGGCAUGCCUAACACAUGCAAGUCGAACGAGACCUUCGGGUCUAGUGGCGCACGGGUGCGUAACGCGUGGGAACCUGCCCUUAGGUUCGGAAUACCUCCCCGAAGGGGGUGCUAAUACCGGUUAAUGUCUUCGGACCAAAGAUGUAUCGCCUUUGGGUGGGCCCGCGUUGGAUUAGCUAGUUGGUAGGGUAAAAGCCUACCAAGGCGACGAUGCAUAGCUGGUCGGAGAGGAUGAUCAGCCACGCUGGGACUGAGACACGGACCAGACUCCUACGGAAGGCAGGAGUGGGGAAUAUUGGACAAGGGGCGAAAGCCUGACACAGCAAUGCCGCGUGAGAGAUGAAGGCCUUAGGGUUGUAAAGCUCUUUUACCCGGGAUGAUAAUGACAGUACCGGGAGAAUAAGCUCCGGCUAACUCCGUG
This 433-nucleotide ribosomal RNA is filed under the name uncultured bacterium. RNAcentral's name for it is "partial 16S ribosomal RNA". It matches the Rfam family "Bacterial small subunit ribosomal RNA", at positions 29 to 507 of the family's 1533-position model. The record is from RNAcentral.